Long non-coding RNA from Carya illinoinensis, 1947 nucleotides. RefSeq lists it as uncharacterized. NCBI's taxonomy places the organism in Eukaryota, Viridiplantae, Streptophyta, Magnoliopsida, Fagales, Juglandaceae. The transcript is spliced from 2 exons. The record is from RefSeq and is a predicted model, not a curated record.
UUUAUUGUUUUUUUUUUUUCAAAUUACAAUUUGAAAUUUUGAACACAGAGACAGAGGUCAGAGAGCCCAUUUCUGAACCCAUCCUGCUCUUGCGUCCUCCUCCCUCCCUCUCGUCGCCCAGCACCCUCGAGGGUCGCUGUCCCUAUAGUCGCCUAGCACAGGCGACUUGUCGGCCUGCCUCUGCCCAUCACCAACCAUCAUGUUUUCCCCACAGACCAUUUCGAACUAGAGGGAAGAGUUCACAGGAACCACUCGUCACCUAGCACCUGUGUCGCCCUCCUUCCACCAGCGCCACCGCUCGCACCCUCGACUCGUCGCCUGCCUUUGCCCAUCGCCACCCAUUCUGUUAAGGAGGUAGUUGAAGGAAUCGAGGAUAACUUAUUUGUGGCGAACCGUUGUUGUGCCGUGAGUUGUUGUGGGUCGGGGUAGUAGAGGGGAGGGAGGGAGGGAGGGAGGGAGAGAGGGAGAGAGAGAGAGAGAGCGAAGCGAAGCUGCUAAGUCGCACGUUCGCUUGCGCUGCUGACUGGUAUCCUCGACGCCUUUUGCUCUCGGUGAAUCCAAGCAAGGUCAAGUAUGGCGAGGGAAAUAGAGAAUUUCAAGUUCGAGCACAGGCAUGGGAAGGAUUGAGUGAGGGUGGGUAGGGUUUGGAGAAACAAAGAAGGCUGCUAUUUCUUCGUGGAGUGGAACGUCAGCAUCAGCCUCCUCUCCAAUUGCCUCCCCGCCUAUUUACUAGAUGACAACUACGACAUCGUCGCCACUGACACCAUAAAGAACACCGUAUAUGUGAAAGCAGAGGAAUGCUCAGAACAAAUUUCAAUGGAGGACUUUGCAAUUCUACUUGCUAAGCACUUUACAUCAUUUUACCACCAAGUAAAUACUAUGUAGAUUUAGUUGUGUACUUUAAAUUCAUAAUAUGGAUGAGAUUUGAUCAUAUUUCUAUUUUUGGUUCCUUUAACUUUGUAUGAAGGAAAUAAAACCAAAUACAUCUAUUAAAAAAACUUUGAAUGAAGGAAAAAGUAGAAGGCAAAGGCGGCUACUUUUGGCAUGUACCAGUAGUCUGUCUGUAUAGAUGGUAAGCAAGUUUAGUCUUUCCUUAAUGGGUGCAGUUGUGAGUCAUCCUUAUUGCAUGGUUAUGAAUGGUUAUGUGUGUAUUGCAUGAAUGGUGGGGAAAUGUUUUAGCAAAUAUAGUUCACUGUUAACAAAAAAAAAAAUGUGAAACAGAGUUCAUACCUAUACUUUUUAUCGUAAGCUCGUCUCCUCUACUUUCUUUGGAAUAUUUUUGGUUUUUUCCUUCAUUAUAAGGAUUCUAAUGAAAGAGAUUUCGUGGGCUAUGAAUCUAGUGUCAACCUACUCAUUCUUUAUUUUUCAAGCAACCUUUUCUUGCUCAUUCAAAAUCUAUUGCUAUAUUCUCCUUCUUCGCUACUUUUUCCAAUGACAUGCUUUAUUACAAUUUACAUUAAGCAAAUACUUUUUCCAAUGACUGGUACUCUCAUUGGCAUUCUUAGUUCUAGUGUGAUAGGGAAAGAGGAAGAUGGAAUCCACCUAGGCCUUUGACGUCGAACUUCACAGUUGUUUCUUUCAGAUUCUACAAAACUCGAGAGGAGAAGUAUCUGCUUGAUCUCCAAAGGAUCUUUGUGCUGCUUUCCUAGCACAGCUCCGAGUCCUAAAGCAAGAAGCCUAGGCUCACAAAAAGACCUUUUCCCGUGAAUCUCUUUUGAUGCUUGUGAAUAAGAAGUCAAUUAUGUAUACAAUAUAAGCUCAAUUUGGUAGCUUUUUUCCCGGACGUUUUUUCGGGUAUUGUUUAGUUUGAGCCAAUAUUCAACGUUGGAAUUGGGGGCUUAUAAUCUGGGUGGUGCAGUCUGCCCUGCCCUUGGGUGUAAUUUUUCUUGUACAUGUUUUGGAUUACUUCUACAGAUGUGGUUGAAUAGAAUUUGACCUUUGAGACUA